CCAAGUUUGAUCUCCUGCAUCUGACUUUCCUGCCACCAGCACGCACCCCCUUUCAAAUGAUCAAAGCAGUGAUGGUUGAAUCGGCCCAGUCCCAGCAGCUUUCCUCCACUGCCGUCUCUCUCUCCCCUCCUCCUUCUCGGGGCCACUCACCCCAUUGGUGGCUGGGGACACGCUGCGGCCCAUUCGGGAUCGGGAGCUCAUUGACCAGAUGGAGAGAAUUUGGGAGCGCCAGAGGUUUGGGCCGUUAUCUGUGGGUGUGGGACUGGGGAGGGCUAGGGGGGAUGACCUCCCCCCAGGGGGUGAGCCCUGUGGAGAGCUGCUGUAUCCCUCAACAUGGCAGUCCAAAUAAUCCCACUCUAGGUCACUGGAGGUCAUUACAAUACUACUGUGACAGUCUUAGAGAAAUAGAAAAGGUGUCCGCACGCAGGAGAAACCACACUGCAACCAAACAGACCAGCAACCAGACUCAAAACCUUCAUACAAUUGCGUCAUUUGUGUGUUUAAAAGGUGACCUCGCACACAUUUAAAUGUCUAAGUUAAAUAUUCUGGAGUUUGUUUGCGUGAAUGUAUAAAUAUUACAUGGUGUAAUAUUGGUAUAAAUAUUACAUGGUGUAAUAUGGGUGUGAUGUUCAUUUGGGAAGAUUCUGAGCGACACUAAUGCAAACGACAGAGAACACAAAGCAAUGGUCCACACAUUCCUUUUCACAGUCAUGACUGCAGUGCAAGCUGGAAACAUGGAAAGAGCAAAUGAAAGGCAGCAUAUAAACAGACAGUCUUACGUCGUCCUGGAUGUCAAGAUCGCAGCCGGCCUUCAGCAGAAUGCGCAGAACCUCGAUGUGGCCCUUGUAGGAAGCCAGGUGCAGGGGACUUCUGCCGUACUGCGGACACAGAACACACACACACAGAAGAGAGGGGCACAGCAACUGAAGAGAGAUACAGCAGGUGAAGCCAACCAGACUGUAUGUCAGUAUCCCCAACUGAAGCCAACCAGAUUGUAUAUCAGUGUCCCAACUGAAGCCAACCAGACUGUAUAUCAGUGUCCCAACUGAAGCCAACCAGAUUGUAUGUCAGUAUCCCCAACUGAAGCCAACCAGACUGUAUAUCAGUGUCCCAACUGAAGCCAACCAGACUGUAUGUCAGUAUCCCCAACUGAAGCCAACCAGACUGUAUAUCAGUGUCCCAACUGAAGCCAACCAGACUGUAUAUCAGUGUCGCCAACUGAAGCCAACCAGACUGUAUAUCAGUGUCCCCAACUGAAGCCAACCAGACUGUAUAUCAGUGUCGCCAACUGAAGCCAACCAGACUGUAUAUCAGUGUCCCCAACUGAAGCCAACCAGACUGUAUAUCAGUGUCCCCAACCAGACUGCAUAUCAGACACAGAGAGACUGACAAUGUGUCUACAGGGCAAUCGUAUUCAUUAACACAUGGCUCUGUCAUCAUGGCACAGCAGUUAGCCGCACGUAAUCUGUCCCAUUUGAAUAAUGAGUCGCCAGUAAACAAACAAAUGUUUAAUCCAGAGAUGGUUUAAAAGAAGCUAGGAUGGAGAGAGAACCUCUACAGCUGCUUAUGGAUUAGCUGCCCACAUCCUCUGGCUCUAAGGCCAACAAUUAUGGGACCUGCAGCCUGCGAUGGAGCAAAUGUGACUUUACAGUUUUUGGAGGUUUAUCUUUAUCUUUCUAUAGUAAUAAUGGAUUGUUUGCCAGGCUAAAUCAGUGAUGCUACUCGACACCACGAUCAUAAGCUGUAUUGGAUUAGGUAAGGUUAGACAUGGCAGAUACUCUUCAUGAAAUGUGCCUUUUCUUAUAACAACUGAAAAGGAAUAUAAAGUGUACUUAAGAGAUAUCUGGAGUUAAGUUAAUGUAAACAAAUUAUCUCAGUAAAUUCUAAAGCCUUAUACCAAGAUACAUAACCCUAUCUCUCCCCAUAGGCUACAGUAAAGCACAGUAACUAUCUGGAAGUGAGAAAAUAAAAUGCAACUGUGUGCUAACCAGCAGCGAUGCGUGGGUAAAAUCACUAGGGAACCUAUGUGUUGUAAUAAUUGUGUUGUUUGCUCUAUAACCUGUUAGUUCAUAUGCCUUGCGACCAUGAUCUAUACUGUAGGCCUAAAGUCCGAGACAAUAAGAAGACACAGAGGCAGAAUAAAUUUAACCACACCUUUGUUUCAUCUCAAAACCGGAGGGCAGCUUCUGUCCGGUAAAAUCCACAAAACAUAUUGCAUGUAACAAACAGUUACUGUGCAUGACCUACGGCAUGGUCAAGCAAGUUAAUGUUUCCAACAUUUUGGGACUACCUAACAACUACUGAUUUAGAACCACGGAGAGUUACCGCAAGUCGCAAAGAUAACAGGGGCUGCCUCCACUUUUCCAACACAAUUUCAACUUCAACAUUUCAACAUCAUCAAAUCACCUAUGCUUAGUCUAAUACAGUGACAACUAAAAGAUACCAAAAACAAUUUAGUCCAAUCAACGUAAGUUAAAUAUGAUGUGGCUGGCCAUUUUUCUGAUUUGUGUGCGUGUUCAUUCGUGCAAGUAGAAAACACAUGUUGACUCCCCCCUACUUGUGAAGAAACGCCAACACCAUCCUCCUCGCUUUCAUGUUGACAAAAUGCUCUAUCACGCUGUCAUACAGUAACACGCUUUAAUUUUUUGUUGUCUUAGGCUACCUGGCUAAAAUGCUUGCUCGCUAGCCUUAGCUAGUCAACAUUAGCCUUCUAUAUUUAGCUACAUAAUUUAACUUUCAUCCUCUCAGGCCAGGGGCACAAUGUAUGAAUUAAUGGUUGGCUUAGAAUCACCGUUAUAGUCAUUGGCGAGUUUGGAGAAUGAAGUAAAACCACAAGUCCAAAUCCCUAUCUCCAUCCAUGGUUCAUUUAGGAAAGGGACCAUUUUAACUCGCUAAGUAGCCACCGGAGGACAACAACACAACGAGAUGCAACAAUUCAAGUUGUUUCUGUUAAUGACGUAUGCUCUCGAUGCGAUUUGAUAGGAGUGAAGCCAAAUCCCAACAGGCUUCCCUUGACACUUUUUGUUGGGUGCGCCAGGACCAUUCAUAGUUGAGCACACUCAAUUUAGCUUAAUGCUGUUUGGCUAUUAUUUUAUACUGUUUUUUUUAUCAAGGGGAGGCCAAAUACUUGCUGGCUUCUCUUGCAUUCAAUGCUGCGGGUGGCAACAAUGUCAUACUCUUUUGGACCAGACUGCCCUCACCCACCUAGAUAAGACAAAUACUUAUGUGAGAAUGCUGUUCAUUGACUACAGCUCAAAACCAUUGUUCCCUCCAAGCUCGUCACCUUGCUUAGGACUCUGGGUCUGAACACCUCCCUCUGCAACUGGAUCCUGGACUUCCUGACGGGCCGCCCCUAGGUGGUGAGGGUAGGCAACAUCACCUCCGCCAUGCUGACCCUUAACACAGGGGUGUAUGCUUAGUCCCCUCAUGUACACGACUGUGUGACCACGCAUGACUCCAACACCAUUUUCAAGUUCGCUGACAACACGAUAGUGGUAGGCCUGAUCACAGGCGACACUGAGUCAGCCUACAGGGAGGAGCAGUGACCUGGCCGUGUGGUACUGGAGUAACAACCUCUCCCUCAACAUCAGCAAGACCAAGGAGCUGAUCGUGGACUACAGGAAACGGAGGGGAGAGCACACCCCCAUCCACAUCAAAGUGGCGGCAGUGGAGCAGGUAGACAGGAUUAAGUUUAUCGGUGACCAAAUCACUAAAGACUUAAAAUGGUCCAAAUACACACACACAGUCGUGAAGAAAGCGUGACAGCGCCUUUCCCCCU
Oncorhynchus nerka (sockeye salmon) is the source of this 3778-nucleotide long non-coding RNA. RefSeq lists it as uncharacterized. The transcript is spliced from 2 exons. NCBI's taxonomy places the organism in Eukaryota, Metazoa, Chordata, Actinopteri, Salmoniformes, Salmonidae. The record is from RefSeq and is a predicted model, not a curated record.